This 431-nucleotide ribosomal RNA is filed under the name uncultured bacterium. RNAcentral describes it as "bacterial SSU rRNA". It matches the Rfam family "Bacterial small subunit ribosomal RNA", at positions 28 to 451 of the family's 1533-position model. The record is from RNAcentral.
GAUGAACGCUGGCGGCGUGCUUAACACAUGCAAGUCGAACGAAGAUGCCGGAGUGCUUGCACUUUGGCAGACUGAGUGGCGGACGGGUGAGUAACGCGUGGGUAACCUGCCUUAUACAGGGGGAUAACAGUUGGAAACGACUGCUAAUACCGCAUAAGCGCACGGUAUCGCAUGAUACAGUGUGAAAAACUCCGGUGGUAUAAGAUGGACCCGCGUCUGAUUAGCUAGUUGGUGAGGUAACGGCCCACCAAGGCGACGAUCCAUAGCCGACCUGAGAGGGUNACCGGCCACAUUGGGACUGAGACACGGCCCAAACGUCCUACGGGAGGCAGCAGUGGGGAAUAUUGCACAAUGGGCGAAGCCUGAUGCAGCGACGCCGCGUGAGCGAAGAAGUAUUCGGUAUGUAAAGCUCGUAUCAGCAGGGAAGAUAA